This 249-nucleotide ribosomal RNA is filed under the name uncultured bacterium. Its description in RNAcentral is "partial 16S ribosomal RNA". It matches the Rfam family "Bacterial small subunit ribosomal RNA", at positions 1252 to 1500 of the family's 1533-position model. The record is from RNAcentral.
AUAUGGCGACAUAGAGCGGAACCCGAAAACCUGUCUCAGUUCGGAUUGGAGUCUGCAACCCGACUCCAUGAAGCUGGAUUCGCUAGUAAUCGCGCAUCAGCCACGGCGCGGUGAAUACGUUCCCGGGCCUUGUACACACCGCCCGUCACACCAUGGGAGCCGGUAAUACCCGAAGUCAGUAGUCUAACCGCAAGGAGGGCGCUGCCGAAGGUAGGAUUGGCGACUGGGGUGAAGUCGUAACAAGGUAGC